Molecule: ribosomal RNA, 2904 nt
Filed under: Escherichia coli O83:H1 str. NRG 857C
Lineage: Bacteria; Pseudomonadati; Pseudomonadota; Gammaproteobacteria; Enterobacterales; Enterobacteriaceae
Description: bacterial LSU rRNA
Rfam family: Bacterial large subunit ribosomal RNA
Source: RNAcentral
GGUUAAGCGACUAAGCGUACACGGUGGAUGCCCUGGCAGUCAGAGGCGAUGAAGGACGUGCUAAUCUGCGAUAAGCGUCGGUGAGGUGAUAUGAACCGUUAUAACCGGCGAUUUCCGAAUGGGGAAACCCAGUGUGUUUCGACACACUAUCAUUAACUGAAUCCAUAGGUUAAUGAGGCGAACCGGGGGAACUGAAACAUCUAAGUACCCCGAGGAAAAGAAAUCAACCGAGAUUCCCCCAGUAGCGGCGAGCGAACGGGGAGGAGCCCAGAGCCUGAAUCAGUGUGUGUGUUAGUGGAAGCGUCUGGAAAGGCGCGCGAUACAGGGUGACAGCCCCGUACACAAAAAUGCACAUACUGUGAGCUCGAUGAGUAGGGCGGGACACGUGGUAUCCUGUCUGAAUAUGGGGGGACCAUCCUCCAAGGCUAAAUACUCCUGACUGACCGAUAGUGAACCAGUACCGUGAGGGAAAGGCGAAAAGAACCCCGGCGAGGGGAGUGAAAAAGAACCUGAAACCGUGUACGUACAAGCAGUGGGAGCCUCUUAAUGGGGUGACUGCGUACCUUUUGUAUAAUGGGUCAGCGACUUAUAUUCUGUAGCAAGGUUAACCGAAUAGGGGAGCCGAAGGGAAACCGAGUCUUAACUGGGCGUUAAGUUGCAGGGUAUAGACCCGAAACCCGGUGAUCUAGCCAUGGGCAGGUUGAAGGUUGGGUAACACUAACUGGAGGACCGAACCGACUAAUGUUGAAAAAUUAGCGGAUGACUUGUGGCUGGGGGUGAAAGGCCAAUCAAACCGGGAGAUAGCUGGUUCUCCCCGAAAGCUAUUUAGGUAGCGCCUCGUGAAUUCAUCUCCGGGGGUAGAGCACUGUUUCGGCAAGGGGGUCAUCCCGACUUACCAACCCGAUGCAAACUGCGAAUACCGGAGAAUGUUAUCACGGGAGACACACGGCGGGUGCUAACGUCCGUCGUGAAGAGGGAAACAACCCAGACCGCCAGCUAAGGUCCCAAAGUCAUGGUUAAGUGGGAAACGAUGUGGGAAGGCCCAGACAGCCAGGAUGUUGGCUUAGAAGCAGCCAUCAUUUAAAGAAAGCGUAAUAGCUCACUGGUCGAGUCGGCCUGCGCGGAAGAUGUAACGGGGCUAAACCAUGCACCGAAGCUGCGGCAGCGACACUAUGUGUUGUUGGGUAGGGGAGCGUUCUGUAAGCCUGCGAAGGUGUACUGUGAGGUAUGCUGGAGGUAUCAGAAGUGCGAAUGCUGACAUAAGUAACGAUAAAGCGGGUGAAAAGCCCGCUCGCCGGAAGACCAAGGGUUCCUGUCCAACGUUAAUCGGGGCAGGGUGAGUCGACCCCUAAGGCGAGGCCGAAAGGCGUAGUCGAUGGGAAACAGGUUAAUAUUCCUGUACUUGGUGUUACUGCGAAGGGGGGACGGAGAAGGCUAUGUUGGCCGGGCGACGGUUGUCCCGGUUUAAGCGUGUAGGCUGAUUUUCCAGGCAAAUCCGGAAAAUCAAGGCUGAGGCGUGAUGACGAGGCACUACGGUGCUGAAGCAACAAAUGCCCUGCUUCCAGGAAAAGCCUCUAAGCAUCAGGUAACAUCAAAUCGUACCCCAAACCGACACAGGUGGUCAGGUAGAGAAUACCAAGGCGCUUGAGAGAACUCGGGUGAAGGAACUAGGCAAAAUGGUGCCGUAACUUCGGGAGAAGGCACGCUGAUAUGUAGGUGAAGUCCCUCGCGGAUGGAGCUGAAAUCAGUCGAAGAUACCAGCUGGCUGCAACUGUUUAUUAAAAACACAGCACUGUGCAAACACGAAAGUGGACGUAUACGGUGUGACGCCUGCCCGGUGCCGGAAGGUUAAUUGAUGGGGUCAGCGCAAGCGAAGCUCUUGAUCGAAGCCCCGGUAAACGGCGGCCGUAACUAUAACGGUCCUAAGGUAGCGAAAUUCCUUGUCGGGUAAGUUCCGACCUGCACGAAUGGCGUAAUGAUGGCCAGGCUGUCUCCACCCGAGACUCAGUGAAAUUGAACUCGCUGUGAAGAUGCAGUGUACCCGCGGCAAGACGGAAAGACCCCGUGAACCUUUACUAUAGCUUGACACUGAACAUUGAGCCUUGAUGUGUAGGAUAGGUGGGAGGCUUUGAAGUGUGGACGCCAGUCUGCAUGGAGCCGACCUUGAAAUACCACCCUUUAAUGUUUGAUGUUCUAACGUUGACCCGUAAUCCGGGUUGCGGACAGUGUCUGGUGGGUAGUUUGACUGGGGCGGUCUCCUCCUAAAGAGUAACGGAGGAGCACGAAGGUUGGCUAAUCCUGGUCGGACAUCAGGAGGUUAGUGCAAUGGCAUAAGCCAGCUUGACUGCGAGCGUGACGGCGCGAGCAGGUGCGAAAGCAGGUCAUAGUGAUCCGGUGGUUCUGAAUGGAAGGGCCAUCGCUCAACGGAUAAAAGGUACUCCGGGGAUAACAGGCUGAUACCGCCCAAGAGUUCAUAUCGACGGCGGUGUUUGGCACCUCGAUGUCGGCUCAUCACAUCCUGGGGCUGAAGUAGGUCCCAAGGGUAUGGCUGUUCGCCAUUUAAAGUGGUACGCGAGCUGGGUUUAGAACGUCGUGAGACAGUUCGGUCCCUAUCUGCCGUGGGCGCUGGAGAACUGAGGGGGGCUGCUCCUAGUACGAGAGGACCGGAGUGGACGCAUCACUGGUGUUCGGGUUGUCAUGCCAAUGGCACUGCCCGGUAGCUAAAUGCGGAAGAGAUAAGUGCUGAAAGCAUCUAAGCACGAAACUUGCCCCGAGAUGAGUUCUCCCUGACUCCUUGAGAGUCCUGAAGGAACGUUGAAGACGACGACGUUGAUAGGCCGGGUGUGUAAGCGCAGCGAUGCGUUGAGCUAACCGGUACUAAUGAACCGUGAGGCUUAACCUUAC